GACGAACGCUGGCGGCGUGCUUAACACAUGCAAGUCGAACGGAAAGGCCCUGCUUUUGUGGGGUGCUCGAGUGGCGAACGGGUGAGUAACACGUGAGUAACCUGCCCUUGACUUUGGGAUAACUUCAGGAAACUGGGGCUAAUACCGGAUAGGAGCUCCUGCUGCAUGGUGGGGGUUGGAAAGUUUCGGCGGUUGGGGAUGGACUCGCGGCUUAUCAGCUUGUUGGUGGGGUAGUGGCUUACCAAGGCUUUGACGGGUAGCCGGCCUGAGAGGGUGACCGGCCACAAUGGGACUGAGAUACGGCCCAGACUGCUACGGGAGGCAACAGGGGGGAAUAUUGCACAAUGGGCGGGAGCCUGAUGCAGCGACGCCGGGUGCGGGAUGACGGCCUUCGGGGUGUAAACCGCUUUCGCCUGUGACGAAGCGGGAGUGACGGUAAUGGGUAAAGAAGCACCGGCUAACUACGUG
This 468-nucleotide ribosomal RNA is filed under the name uncultured bacterium. RNAcentral's name for it is "partial 16S ribosomal RNA". It matches the Rfam family "Bacterial small subunit ribosomal RNA", at positions 28 to 507 of the family's 1533-position model. The record is from RNAcentral.